Molecule: ribosomal RNA, 600 nt
Filed under: uncultured marine picoplankton
Lineage: Eukaryota
Description: SSU rRNA
Rfam family: Eukaryotic small subunit ribosomal RNA
Source: RNAcentral
UAGCGUAUAUUUAAGUUGUUGCAGUUAAAAAGCUCGUAGUUGGAUUUCGGUUGAGAGCGGCCGGUCCGCCGUUUGGUGUGCACUGGCUGGUUUCAGCUUCCUGCAGAGGACGCGCUCUGGGCUUAAUCGUCUGGACGUGGAGUCUGCGUGGUUACUUUGAAAAAAUUAGAGUGUUCAAAGCGGGCUUACGCUUGAAUAUUUCAGCAUGGAAUAACACUAUAGGACUCCUGUCCUAUUUCGUUGGUCUCGGGACGGGAGUAAUGAUUAAGAGGAACAGUUGGGGGCAUUCGUAUUUCAAUGUCAGAGGUGAAAUUCUUGGAUUUUUGAAAGACGAACUUCUGCGAAAGCAUUUGCCAAGGAUGUUUUCAUUAAUCAAGAACGAAAGUUGGGGGCUCGAAGAUGAUUAGAUACCAUCCUAGUCUCAACCAUAAACGAUGCCGACUAGGGAUUGGCGGAUGUUAAUUGAUGACUCCGCCAGCACCUUAUGAGAAAUCAAAGUUUUUGGGUUCCGGGGGGAGUAUGGUCGCAAGGCUGAAACUUAAAGGAAUUGACGGAAGGGCACCACCAGGCGUGGAGCCUGCGGCUUAAUUUGACUCAACA